RNAcentral lists this ribosomal RNA (1049 nucleotides) under Streptococcus suis. RNAcentral describes it as "bacterial SSU rRNA". It matches the Rfam family "Bacterial small subunit ribosomal RNA", at positions 470 to 1520 of the family's 1533-position model. Lineage: Bacteria; Bacillati; Bacillota; Bacilli; Lactobacillales; Streptococcaceae. The record is from RNAcentral.
UGACGGUAUCUUACCAGAAAGGGACGGCUAACUACGUGCCAGCAGCCGCGGUAAUACGUAGGUCCCGAGCGUUGUCCGGAUUUAUUGGGCGUAAAGCGAGCGCAGGCGGUUUGAUAAGUCUGAAGUAAAAGGCUGUGGCUUAACCAUAGUACGCUUUGGAAACUGUCAAACUUGAGUGCAGAAGGGGAGAGUGGAAUUCCAUGUGUAGCGGUGAAAUGCGUAGAUAUAUGGAGGAACACCGGUGGCGAAAGCGGCUCUCUGGUCUGUAACUGACGCUGAGGCUCGAAAGCGUGGGGAGCGAACAGGAUUAGAUACCCUGGUAGUCCACGCCGUAAACGAUGAGUGCUAGGUGUUGGGUCCUUUCCGGGACUCAGUGCCGCAGCUAACGCAUUAAGCACUCCGCCUGGGGAGUACGACCGCAAGGUUGAAACUCAAAGGAAUUGACGGGGGCCCGCACAAGCGGUGGAGCAUGUGGUUUAAUUCGAAGCAACGCGAAGAACCUUACCAGGUCUUGACAUCCCAGUGACCGUCCUAGAGAUAGGAUUUUUCUUCGGAACACUGGUGACAGGUGGUGCAUGGUUGUCGUCAGCUCGUGUCGUGAGAUGUUGGGUUAAGUCCCGCAACGAGCGCAACCCCUAUUGUUAGUUGCCAUCAUUCAGUUGGGCACUCUAGCGAGACUGCCGGUAAUAAACCGGAGGAAGGUGGGGAUGACGUCAAAUCAUCAUGCCCCUUAUGACCUGGGCUACACACGUGCUACAAUGGCUGGUACAACGAGUCGCAAGUCGGUGACGGCAAGCUAAUCUCUUAAAGCCAGUCUCAGUUCGGAUUGUAGGCUGCAACUCGCCUACAUGAAGUCGGAAUCGCUAGUAAUCGCGGAUCAGCACGCCGCGGUGAAUACGUUCCCGGGCCUUGUACACACCGCCCGUCACACCACGAGAGUUUGUAACACCCGAAGUCGGUGAGGUAACCAUUUGGAGCCAGCCGCCUAAGGUGGGAUAGAUGAUUGGGGUGAAGUCGUAACAAGGUAGCCGUAUCGGAAGGUGCGGCUG